Felis catus (domestic cat) is the source of this 752-nucleotide long non-coding RNA. RefSeq lists it as uncharacterized. The record is from RefSeq and is a predicted model, not a curated record. NCBI's taxonomy places the organism in Eukaryota, Metazoa, Chordata, Mammalia, Carnivora, Felidae. The transcript has 2 exons.
AGAGCUGAAACUCAGAUAUCUGAGGAGGGGACCCUGGGCAGUAAGGGCUGGUCUCUCUGGCAUCAGGGAAAACUGAAUCACAUGAGCUACUGCUAUAGGAAGGACUUGCUUCUGCUGGGGUGAAGAAGCAUGGCUGGGGUAAUGUUUCUAGGAAAAAGAGGCAGAAAGUCCCUUCACCCUCCUUCAGCCAUGCAGCUUCCCUCUAGCAUCCCCACCAUUGGCAGUGACUGAGAAGGAGCUGCUGGCUAAGCAGAAAGUUAGUUUGCCAAGUCCCAUCGCACACAUCACAAGCACCACCCACAAGAGAGUGGGACUGAAGCUAAGAGAAAAUUAAUAACCGGCAUGUCAAUCAAGGAAAUAGAUAUCUCCACUUGACAGCAGGCUCUGUAAACUACAGCACACAGGCCAAAUCCAGCCCACGAGCUAAGAAGGAGUCAUCGUGCAAGGGGAAUGACCCACAGGGCCCUGAGAAACCUGGAUGGCCCUUGAGACACCUCUAGACAAGAUGUUUAUCUUAUUGGUUUAGCAAUUCCACUCCAAGCACCCGAUUUUGUGGACAAACCCCAAUGGGUCUGCCAACUCUGGGAAUCAUUGUAGCUGUCACGCGCCAUGCUCACCACAGGAGAGAAAUCAUGAGGAGGGAAAAUGAGUAAUAGUAGGAGGUUGUGGGAUGAUAAAAAGCUGUUUAAUGUUUGACAAAUUCAAGUUCAUAAAGAAGUUUCCUUGAAUUUAAUAAAGAUGCUAAAAAUGUU